UUAAAAAAAAAUAAUAAUAUCAAACAGCUUUUUAUUUCAUUUUAUUUUAUCUUAUUUUAUUCUUCCCCCCACAAAGGUUCAGGAUAAAUGGUACAAAUGUAAUAAAUGUAAACUGCACUUGGCACCGUCGGGGUCAAUAAAUAACAUAAAAAAGGGAGCGAGCGCGGGAGGCGUUUGGGAGGCGGCGCUUUGGGAUCUGAAUAAAUAACAUAAUUUAUUUCCAAUAAAUAGCAGUAUCCAAAAUACAGAUGCAUUGCAUCCACUUCUGCAGCCGGGCACGGGCCCGGCGAUUCCGGAGGGGAAAAUCCGGAUGGUGCCGGCGGCGCUGGAACAGGAAUCCCUUUUCCCCUUUUCUCCCUUUUCUACCUUUUUUUAUUCUUUUUCCCCUUUUUUCCUUUUUCCCUUUUCCCUUUUUUUCCUUUUUUCCUUUCCCCUUUUUUCCUUUUUUCCUUUCCCCUUUUUUCCUUUUUUCCUUCCCCCUUUUUUUCCUUUUUUCCUUUCCCCUUUUUUUCCUUUUUUCCUUUUCCUUCCUUUUUCUUUUAUUCCCUUUUAUUUCCUUUCUCUCGGGCCUCCCUUCGAGGCCGGGCUUUGCUCAGCCCAGAAGGAAAACACGUGGCAGCCCCAUUCCCAAUUCCCAAGGGGCAGAAACAACCGAAUCCCACUAAAAUAUCCUUUCUCUUGAUAAAUUGGGAAAAUCCUUUCUCCCCAGCAGGAUGCUGGAGCUGUUUAAAUCCAGAAUAUUCUCUCUGCGAGCGCUUUCAUCGCGUGGCAACGACGACGUCGGAGCUGAUUUCCCACCCGUGGAUCCCAAAUUGGGAGCGAGACCCCGGGAGCAAACGGGAUCCCGAGGGAUCUGUGGGAUGUGUGGCUCUGAUCCCGAGCUGGAGCUGGAUCCUGCCCCAGGCACAGCGUGUCCUGAUGGAAAAACCUCUGGAAAUCCCAGAACUCGCCGGGGCAGGGCUGGCAGAGCGCAAGCCUGGGAUUUUUGCACUGUCACAACCACAUUAUUCUGUUUUAAACAUCUCCUCGCGUCCCCAAACCUCCUGCUCUUCCAACCCCUCCUCUCUCACGAGGAGCUGCAGGCCCAGACAAACAAAAACCCGACCCAAAAAUCUCCUCAACAGCUGUUGCACACUGGUUAUUAUUAUUAUUACUAAUAAUAAUAAUAAUAAUAAUAUUAAUAUUAACCACAGCACAUGGGAUGCUGAGGGAAGAGCCAGAUGAGAUUCUGCUGUCCUUUGAGGAGGGAAUUUUCCACUUUGGUUUUUUUUUUUUUUUUGCAUUGUAGUCAUUCUUCCGGACAGCUCCAGCUCCUAUUACAGCAGAGGGGGCUGGAGAAAUGGAAAACAUGAGGGAAAACUCAGCCUUUGGAUUGGAACCACAUUUCCAGGGCCGGCUGGCAGCGGGAUGGCACCAGGACAGCUGGAGGAAUUCCAUGAGGAGGAGGAGGAGCCCUGAAAAAGCCAUGGAAGCAGAAUCCAUCCUUUUGGCCACACCACGAUGCCCCAGCUCGCCCCAUCG
RNAcentral lists this long non-coding RNA (1521 nucleotides) under Lonchura striata (white-rumped munia). RNAcentral describes it as "domestica (Bengalese finch) lncRNA (ENSLSDG00000011200.1)". The record is from RNAcentral. Lineage: Eukaryota; Metazoa; Chordata; Aves; Passeriformes; Estrildidae.